Molecule: unclassified non-coding RNA, 251 nt
Filed under: uncultured Flavobacteriaceae bacterium
Lineage: Bacteria; Pseudomonadati; Bacteroidota; Flavobacteriia; Flavobacteriales; Flavobacteriaceae
Description: contains 16S-23S intergenic spacer region
Rfam family: Bacterial small subunit ribosomal RNA
Source: RNAcentral
UACGAGGAUCCAAGCGUUAUCCGGAAUCAUUGGGUUUAAAGGGUCCGUAGGCGGGAUAAUAAGUCAGUGGUGAAAGUCUGCGGCUCAACUGUAGAAUUGCCAUUGAUACUGUUGUUCUUGAGUGUUUAUGAAGUGGUUAGAAUAUGUAGUGUAGGGUGAAAUGCAUAGAUAUUACAUAGAAUACCGAUUGCGAAGGCAGAUCACUAAUAAAAUACUGACGCUGAUGGACGAAAGCGUGGGGAGCAAACAGG